GACGAGCGCUGGCGGCGUGCUUAACACAUGCAAGUCGAACGGAAAGGCCCUGCUUUUGUGGGGUGCUCGAGUGGCGAACGGGUGAGUAACACGUGAGUAACCUGCCCUUGACUUUGGGAUAACUUCAGGAAACUGGGGCUAAUACCGGAUAGGAGCUCCUGCUGCAUGGUGGGGGUUGGAAAGUUUCGGCGGUUGGGGAUGGACUCGCGGCUUAUCAGCUUGUUGGUGGGGUAGUGGCUUACCAAGGCUUUGACGGGUAGCCGGCCUGAGAGGGUGACCGGCCACAUUGGGACUGAGAUACAGCCCAGACUCCUACGGGAGGCAGCAGUGGGGAAUAUUGCACAAUGGGCGGAAGCCUGAUGCAGCAACGCCGCGUGCGGGAUGACGGCCUUCGGGUUGUAAACCGCUUUCGCCUGUGACGAAGCGUGAGUGACGGUAAUGGGUAAAGAAGCACCGGCUAACUACGUGCCAGCAGCCGCGGUGAUACGUAGGGUGCGAGCGUUGUCCGGAUUUAUUGGGCGUAAAGGGCUCGUAGGUGGUUGAUCGCGUCGGAAGUGUAAUCUUGGGGCUUAACCCUGAGCGUGCUUUCGAUACGGGUUGACUUGAGGAAGGUAGGGGAGAAUGGAAUUCCUGGUGGAGCGGUGGAAUGCGCAGAUAUCAGGAGGAACACCAGUGGCAAAGGCGGUUCUCUGGGCCUUUCCUGACGCUGAGGAGCGAAAGCGUGGGGAGCGAACAGGCUUAGAUACCCUGGUAGUCCACGCUGUAAACGGUGGGUACUAGGUGUGGGGUCCAUUCCACGGGUUCCGUGCCGUAGCUAACGCUUUAAGUACCCCGCCUGGGGAGUACGGCCGCAAGGCUAAAACUCAAAGGAAUUGACGGGGCCCCUCACAAGCGGCGGAGCAUGCGGAUUAAUUCGAUGCAACGCGUAGAACCUUACCUGGGUUUGACAUGGAUCGGGAGUGCUCAGAGAUGGGUGUGCCUCUUUUGGGGUCGGUUCACAGGUGGUGCAUGGCUGUCGUCAGCUCGUGUCGUGAGAUGUUGGGUUAAGUCCCGCAACGAGCGCAACCCUUGUUCACUGUUGCCAGCACGUUAUGGUGGGGACUCAGUGGAGACCGCCGGGGUCAACUCGGAGGAAGGUGGGGAUGACGUCAAGUCAUCAUGCCCCUUAUGUCCAGGGCUUCACGCAUGCUACAAUGGCUGGUACAGAGAGUGGCGAGCCUGUGAGGGUGAGCGAAUCUCGGAAAGCCGGUCUCAGUUCGGAUUGGGGUCUGCAACUCGACCUCAUGAAGUCGGAGUCGCUAGUAAUCGCAGAUCAGCAACGCUGCGGUGAAUACGUUCCCGGGGCUUGUACACACCGCCCGUCAAGUCAUGAAAGUUGGUAACACCCGAAGCCGGUGGCCUAACCGUUGUGGGGGAGCCGUCGAAGGUGGGACUGGUGAUUAGGACUAAGUCGUAACAAGGUAGCCGUACCGGAAGG
Molecule: ribosomal RNA, 1477 nt
Filed under: uncultured bacterium
Lineage: Bacteria
Description: partial 16S ribosomal RNA
Rfam family: Bacterial small subunit ribosomal RNA
Source: RNAcentral